Suricata suricatta (meerkat) is the source of this 265-nucleotide long non-coding RNA. RefSeq lists it as uncharacterized. Lineage: Eukaryota; Metazoa; Chordata; Mammalia; Carnivora; Herpestidae. The transcript has 4 exons. The record is from RefSeq and is a predicted model, not a curated record.
GACCAGAAAAGCAGAUAAGAUGUGGAAGAAUACCCAGAAAAAUGGCAUAAAGAAAGAUCCAGAAUCAUGAGCUCCACAGUGAAUUCCUUCCCAUGACGUGAUCUCGUGCUGAGGACACCUUACUGAACCAUAUAGCUGAGAUCCCUGUAUUGUUGGUGACAUAGGUCAGCACAAAAUCCAGAAGAAGCACUGGAAAAAAUCAACAUCUUUUCAUGAUGAAAAGUCUGAACAAAUAUCAUGUAAGAGGAUUUUACUUCAGCAUAUA